Molecule: long non-coding RNA, 1101 nt
Filed under: Medicago truncatula (barrel medic)
Lineage: Eukaryota; Viridiplantae; Streptophyta; Magnoliopsida; Fabales; Fabaceae
Description: long non-coding RNA (MTRU_LNC007736)
Source: RNAcentral
CAUAGAUGUAACUGUGAACUGGUGGUGGAGGAGAGUGAUAAACUGGGUGUGGAGUGUAGGGAGGAUGAACUGGUGGAGAGUGGUAAACUGGUUUUGGAGUGUAAGGAGGGUGAACUGGUGGUGGAGGGGAUGAGUAUUUGUAUGGCUUCUUUGGUGGUGGUGGAGAGUGGUAGUAGGGCUUAGGGCUGACGUGAUGCACUGGUGGAGGAGGAGAGGAAUAUUUGUAUGGCUUCUUUGGUGGUGGUGGGGAAUGGUAGUAAGGUUUAGGGCUUAACAUGCACUGGUGGUGGAGGAGAAGAAUAUUUGUAUGGUUUCUUUGGGGGUGGUGGAGAAUGGUAGUAAGGUUUAGGGUGGACAUAUGGUGGAGGAGGAGAAGAAUACUUGUAAGGUUUCUUUGGUGGUGGUGGUGGUGAACUGUAAUGGUAGGGAGGAGGAGGUGUAUAAACGGUGGGGGUGGAGAGUGGUAGUAGUAUGGUUUCUUAGGUGGUGAGUACACUGGUGGUGGUGGUGAAGAGUAAUGGUAAGGUGGUUUAACUGGAGGGUACACCCCCGGUGGUGGGGAAUGUGGAGGGUACACCUUAGGUGGUGGUGGAGAACUAUAAUGGUAAGGUGGUGAGACUGGUGGAUACACCUCAGGUGGUGGUGAAUGUGGAGGGUAUUUCUUAGGUGGUGGUGGGGAAGAGUAAUGGUAAGGUGGUUUAACUGGUGGGUACACCUUGGGUGGUGGUGAAUGUGGAGGGUACACCUUAGGAGGUGGUGGUGAAGAGUAAUGGUAAGGUGGUGAAACUGGAGGAUACACCUUAGGUGGUGGUGAAUGAGGAGGAUACUUCUUAGGUGGUGGUGGUGAAGAGUAAUGGUAAGGUGGUGAAACUGGAGGGUACACCUUAGGUGGUGGUGAAUGUGGAGGGUACACCUUAGGUGGUGGUGGUGAAGGGUAGUGGUAAGGUGGGGAAACUGGAGGGUAGACCUUAGAAGGUGGAGGAGGUGAAGAAUACAAGUAGCUGUUUGCUGAAAUUUGAGAUGUAUGGAGAGAGACACUAUUAUGGCUAAUAGAAGAGUCAAAGUGGCAGAGGCCAUUGGAGACCUCAUUUUUUUUUUUUU